Molecule: small nuclear RNA, 104 nt
Organism: Loxodonta africana (African savanna elephant)
Lineage: Eukaryota; Metazoa; Chordata; Mammalia; Proboscidea; Elephantidae
Source: Ensembl
GUGAGAAAUAUGGCAGCACGUAUACUAAGAUUCGAACGAUACAGAGAUUAGCACGGCCCCUGCGCAAGGAUGACAAGCAUGGAAUUAUGAAGAUACACAUUAUG